This 396-nucleotide ribosomal RNA is filed under the name Marimonadida sp. RNAcentral's name for it is "partial small subunit ribosomal RNA". It matches the Rfam family "Eukaryotic small subunit ribosomal RNA", at positions 582 to 975 of the family's 1831-position model. The record is from RNAcentral. Lineage: Eukaryota; Cercozoa; Imbricatea; Marimonadida.
AUCCCAGCUCCAGUAGCGUAUAUUAAAGUUGUUGCAGUUAAAAAGCUCGUAGUUGGAUUUCUGGCCUGACGAAACUGACCCGCCGCGGUUACGUGUGUGAGUGUCGGGCUUCGUCUGCCAUCCUUCCAGAAAACGUUUCUACCCCCACUGGGUUGGAUUCGCGAUCUGGAGCUUUUACUUUGAAGAAAUUAGAGUGUUCAAAGCAGGCUUGCGCUGUGAAUACAUUAGCAUGGAAUAAUAAUUUAGGACUCAGGUCUUAUUUUGUUGGUUCUUAAGAUCUAAGUAAUGAUUGAUAGGGAUAGUUGGGGGUGCUAGUAUUCAGCGGCCAGAGGUGAAAUUCUUGGAUUCGCUGAAGACUAACUUAUGCGAAAGCAUUCACCAAGGAUGCCUUCAUUA